Molecule: ribosomal RNA, 484 nt
Filed under: uncultured bacterium
Lineage: Bacteria
Description: bacterial SSU rRNA
Rfam family: Bacterial small subunit ribosomal RNA
Source: RNAcentral
GAGAACGCUGGCGGCGUGGAUUAGGCAUGCAAGUCGAACGGUAUCAUCCUUUCGGGGGUGAGAGAGUGGCGAACUGGUGAGUAACACGUAGGUUAUCUACCCUCAAGACGGGACAACCCAGGGAAACUUGGGCUAAUACCGGAUGUGAGCAACUUUAGUUGUUUGAAAGGUGGCGUAAGCUGUCGCUUGGGGAUGAGCCUGCGUCCUAUUAGUUAGUUGGUGAGGUAACGGCUCACCUAGGCAAUGAUAGGUAGGCGGCCUUAACGGGUGGUCGCCCACACUGGGAUUGAGAUACGGCCCAGACUCCUACGGGAGGCAGCAGUCGAGAAUAGUCUACAAUGGUCGGAAGACUGAUAGUGCGACGCCGCGUGAACGAUGAAUCCCUUCGGGGUGUAAAGUUCUUUUAUAUGUGAGCAGUGCUUCUUAUAUUAACAGUAUGGGGAGAGAGAUAUUAGCAUAUGAAUAAGCAACGGCUAACUCCGUG